UGUGGCAGGGGGUUGGAGAUUCAUUGUCCUUGGGGUCCCUUCCAACCCUGGCCAUUCUGUGAUUCUGUGAUGGUGGCUAUGCCCAACUGAUGGAUGUGUAGGAAUCUUGAGGUUUCUUACGGUUUUUAGGCGCGUCCAAAACUUGGGCAGGUCACAUAAUUGCCUAGAAAUACAAAGCUCUCACUGAAGUGCUGUUACUGUAAAUAUACUUUUCCUGUCAUUCUUUAGCAUUAAAAUAAUGCAUAGUUGCGUUAGCCUUUAAAACUGUAGGUUGUUUCUUGAGGAAUCAUUUUCAGGUAAGUUAUGAAGACUUUGCAACUGACAAGUUUUCCAUGCAAAUAUUUGCCCUCUUUCCCAAAAUGCCUUCUUAUCUCCUCAACAGUGUUAUAAAUUUCAGCUAAUCCUCCAACAGCAGCUGUUACAGUUCCAGAUAAGCAACUUUUGAAGUGGUGCAGCUCCAAGCUGCUCUCCUGCUCUACAGGAGUUCAGAUGGUCUGUUUCUGGAAGAGCUCAUCAAGGUACAGAACAUGCCAUUUCAGUUCUCUUUUGCUGGGCUCUGGGAGCAACCCUGAAUGUUUUUCACUGGUUUUCGGCAAGGUUGAGCAAAUUCUGGGUCUACAGAAGCAUCACAAGUUUAGGUUUACUUCACCUGUCUUUAAAAAUCUCUCUUGGGUACUUGGAAGAGCAGUGAAAGGAUUGGUUUUCUUAAACCUAAAGGUAUAGUAGUGGUAGAAUCUCAAGGGAACAGAGACGUUUUAGGUGAAGGCGUUUGUUGAUUGCUAAAAAGAUUUUAGGAAAAGCCACCAGUGUGUGAACAAAGAUCACUUAAUGAAGGAAUAGCGUUUUGUGAAUUUCUGACUGGGCUUAUCUACCCUUUGGCAGGCACUAACAUGAGCCUGGACCACCACAACCAAGGAGACUGCCUUCCCUCCCCAUGUCUUGAGGAGAGCAGACACUGAUGUGGGCUAGCAUGAGCCAGGGUCUCUGUGAGUCACACUUCUAACAGCAGCCUUCACCACUGCAGUAAGAGCCUCAGACUGCAGUAAUCCCCACCGUAGGGGGAUUAAAGACUUCUGGUGAUUUUGAGUGCCUUCAUCCUGAGGUUUCGGUGUGCUUUGGAUUGUGCCUCAUUCAUCACAUGGAACAACUCCAACUUUCAAUACAAAAGAUACAAGAGAAGCUUCUCCCAAGUUUAGCUCCACAAUUCUUUUCUGAUACGAGCUGUUUGCUAUUAGGGUUAGCCUCAAACCCACAAAAGGUUGUGAUCAAUUACCUGCAGUUCCCACUCUGUGCCUGUGAUGUACAUCUACACAUCUGUCAUGGAAUCAUUCAGACUGGAAAAGAUCAAGUCCAACCAUCAGCCCUUCCCCACCACGCCCAUUAACCAUGUCCCUGAAGUGCCACAUCUACAGGUUACUUGGAACACUUCCACGACUGCUGCCUUCACUGCUUAUACCUGUGCACAACUUCAACUAUAACGGAUGGGCCUCUCAGUGGUACUGAAGCAACCAAAUACGUUGAAUUGUAAGGAUGGAAACGCUCAUAGUGCCAGGGGACUCUGAAGCCAAGUGCAAACGCUGCCAUGUUGCCAGUCCAGACGUGGAACAGCUCUCCUGCAGUCAGCGCUGCCUCCUGCUGUACUGCUGUGCCCAGCAUGUAAGAGGUUUGGCUGAUGAACUACCUGCUCAUCCUGGCCAGCACUGUGGGAGCAGAUUUAAGCCUGUAAUGGACAGACCAGCUCAGAGAGACACUGGUGUGGGUGUGGAAAAAGAGUAGUUUGUUUCUUAAUGUAAAGCAGAGUCCUCUGCUUGCCGGUUAAUAAAUAUUUGGCCAGAACAAAACUGUA
Lagopus leucura (white-tailed ptarmigan) is the source of this 1846-nucleotide long non-coding RNA. RefSeq lists it as uncharacterized. The record is from RefSeq and is a predicted model, not a curated record. The transcript is spliced from 2 exons. Lineage: Eukaryota; Metazoa; Chordata; Aves; Galliformes; Phasianidae.